This 1700-nucleotide long non-coding RNA is filed under the name Salmo salar (Atlantic salmon). RNAcentral's name for it is "lncRNA (ENSSSAG00000110138.1)". Lineage: Eukaryota; Metazoa; Chordata; Actinopteri; Salmoniformes; Salmonidae. The record is from RNAcentral.
AAGAAGAGGAACAGGGCCAGUGGGAGAGAUAGAGACCAUAUGGGUCAGGAGAGGAACAGGGCCAGUGGGAGAGAUAGAGACCAUAGGGGGCAGGAGAGGAACAGGGCCAGUGGGAGAGAUAGAGACCAUAUGGGUCAGGAGAGGAACAGGGCCAGUGGAAGAGAUAGAGACCAUAUGGGGCAGGAGAGGAACAGGGCCAGUGGGAGAGAUAGAGACCAUAGGGGGCAGGAGAGGAACAGGGCCAGUGGGAGAGAUAGAGACCAUAUGGGGCAGGAGAGGAACAGGGCCAGUGUGAGAGAUAGAGACCAUAUGGGGCAGGAGAAGAACAGGGCCAGUGGGAGAGAUAGAGACCAUAUGGGGCAGGAGAGGAACAGGGCCAGUGGGAGAGAUAGAGACCAUAUGGGGAAGGAGAGGAACAGGGCCAGUGGGAGAGAUAGAGACCAUAUGGGGCAGGAGGAGAACAGGGCCAGUGGGAGAGAUAGAGACCAUAGGUUGCAGGAGAGGAACAGGGCCAGUGGGAGAGAUAGAGAGCAUAGGUUGCAGGAGAGGAACAGGGCCAGUGGGAGAGAUAGAGACCAUAGGUUGCAGGAGAGGAACAGGGCCAGUGGGAGAGAUAGAGACCAUAGGUUGCAGGAGAGGAACACUGGCCGUGUGAGAGAUAGAGACCAUAUGGGGAAGGAGAGGAACAGGGCCAGUGGGAGAGAUAGAGACCAUAUGGGUCAGGAGAAGAACAGGGCCAGUGUGAGAGAUAGAGACCAUAAGGGGCAGGAGAGGAACAGGGCCAGUGGGAGAGAUAGAGACCAUAUGGGUCAGGAGAAGAACAGAGAGCCAGAAAGAAUGUUGAUAAAAGGGUGACCGUUCAAUGACACUCAUGACAGUUGAACAGCAGUGGCAUUCCAUUCUAGCAAGUGCCAUCUGUACUGCUGCUGCGCAUCCAAACACAUCUAUGAUGAUGAGGCAAAAUCAAGCCUGAUGGUCAAUACCAAGGCCUAUGUGUUUUACUACCAGGACACACAGUGGCUACUGGCAACAAAAAAAGAGCCAUCUGUCGCAGUGUGUUCCCGCUCAGUGUUCCAAUGUGCACCCCGCCUGUGUUCUCAUAAUAAAGGCAUUAGUGCCCUCUGUCUAUAUCCUGCUACCUCCCUCAGCCCCCCUCUCUAAAUGGGCAGCGUAUCUCUCUGAGCUACAACUCUGUUUCAUGUAGAAAUGAUUCAUUAGCCAUUCCUUUGUUGGAAUAAUAAAAUAUGCCUUAUUUUUUUUCUCUAUAUAGAAAAGUGGAAGACCUGAGGAUGGGAGGGGAUUAAAAUAGGAAAUUUAGCCCAGAGGGAUGAAGUGAUAGAGAGAAUGACAGGAAGGCAGGGAAAGUAGGGUACAAAAAUGUCUCCUUGCGCCCUACUGAAGCACUUAUCCUGCCCUUUUUGUCCCUGGCAAAAUCAAACAGGUGGUUUGCGCCUGACUUGCAAGCUGCUGUGGCCAUAGGUGGGCUGGCCCAAAGGCUCUGGGGACGAAAGGACUUCAGGCCAGCUGUAGGCCCACAAAGAUUGAAAGAGUAAUGGCUUGAUUAUCAUGUGAAAUCUGGGAACUACAGUCCCUUCAGAAAGUAUUCACACCCUUUGGGUUUUGCCACAUUUUGUUUUGUAACAGCCUGAAUUUAAAAUGGUUUAAAUUGAUGUUUUGUCACUGGCCUACACACAAUACAC